This 492-nucleotide ribosomal RNA is filed under the name uncultured bacterium. RNAcentral describes it as "partial 16S ribosomal RNA". It matches the Rfam family "Bacterial small subunit ribosomal RNA", at positions 29 to 507 of the family's 1533-position model. The record is from RNAcentral.
AGUGAACGCUGGCGGUAUGCCUAACACAUGCAAGUCGAACGGCAGCGCAGUAAGAUCUCUCUCUUACGGGUGGCGAGUGGCGGACGGGUGAGGAAUACAUCGGAAUCUUCUUUUUCGUGGGUGAUAACGUAGGGAAACUUACGCUAAUACCUCAUACGUCCUACGGGUGAAAGCAGUGGAUCUUCGGAGCUUGCGCGACUGAAUGAGCCGGUGUCGCAUUAGCUAGUUGGCGGGGUAAAGGCCCACCAAGGCGACGAUCCGUAGCGGGUCUGAGAGGAUGAUCAGCCACACUGGAACUGAGACACGGUCCAGACUCCUACGGGAGGCAGCAGUAGGGAAUAUUGGGCAAUGGGCGCAAGCCUGAUCCAGCCAUGCCGCGUGAGUGAAGAAGGCCUUCGGGUUGUAAAGCUCUGUUGUUGGGAAAGAAAAGCAGCAGGAGAAUCCCCCGAUGUCCUGACGGUACCCAAAGAAUAAGCACCGGCUAACUUCGUG